AAGCUGGACGGGAUCAGACUGCUAAUGACUGCGCUUCACGCCGUCUGCAGCAGCUCGCGCAGCACUCGGUUCUUUCCCGCCUGUAAAGUCUCAGCUCAGUGGGGUUCUCCCCGGCCCGCGCUGUCGGGGCCCCCCUCCCUCCCCGGGCCCCCUCUCCAGGCCCUCUGUGUGUGUGUGUGUGUGUGUGUGUGUGUGUGUGUGUGUGUGUGUGUGUGUGUGUGUGUGUGUGUGUGUGUGUGUGUGUGUGUGUGUGUGUGUGAGAGAGAGGGUGCGCUCAGAGUGAGCUCAUGGGACAAAAAGUAAUAAUCCUGUCCUCUCUCUUUGGUUAGUUAGCGUAACGCUCCAAAGUUCACAUGGGCUCUGGAUUGAGCCAGGCGUCUGAUUGGUUGACUGAGCUCUGCUGACCAGCGACCAGACGGAUCUAUAGCAGCGAGCUGCGAGAUAGAUGGGCUCCAGGCGCCCUGUGUAGCCGAGCUGAUUAAAUUUCCUGAUCAGACCCCUGUGGCCUGGACUGGAGCAUGUCUCUCACACAAACACAAACACACACACACACACACACACCAAGUCCUGUGUCUGCAUUUGAACUGACAGCUGCCUUAUUACUCCUUUUCAUGACUCAGCAUUGGGCGAGGCAUCUGUCUUACCCGCCCUGCCCUCCUUCGCUCUAUUUUCAAUUUAAUUUAGCUCCGUUUCAGGCGUUGAGCUCAGACUUUCUGCGAUAGUCUGACUCCACCGUAAUGUAUCGCAGGAUAUCGCGUCCUGUUUCAGGCAUCAACAGACAAAGGACGGCAGACAAACGGCACAAAGAUGACAUUUCUCUAUCAAAAGAUUAAAUAUUUUUCAGUUUAUUUUUCUGAUGACAAUAUUGCUAUUGAUUAUUGUUGUUGUUGUUAUUGUUCUCAUUGGGUUAUUUACCUCUCCACCCGGCAUUAUUAUUAUUCCAUGGCCCUGUUAGCUGUUGCUUUUUAUGUUGUGUUACAUCACUUGGGAUGAUGUUGAAUCCCCCCAAACCUCCAUUCCCUCUUUCAACCCUUCAUGCCCCCCCCCCCCCCCCCCCAAACUAGACAUUUUCGUGUCUUUAGUUUUUUCAAAUGUAAUUUAACUAAAAUGUGUAAUAUCAAUUUUUGAUGCAGACGGAGAAAUAACACCGGGGACUAAGAGGAAAAUGCAGCGGCGAAGGAUUUUAGUGGCAGAGAGGAGGAGUGAUUUUAUCUCUUUUGUCGUGUAUUGUAAUUUUUAUUUUACAAUGUUACCUUUUUCUCUCUUUGCUUCUGUACAUUUAUUUUUUUGGGCGGGGGGGGGGGGGUUAUGUCAUCUAAAAGGGAGGAAAAAAAAGAUUUGUAUUGUUUCACUGCAAAGGUCUAUCUUCUCCCUCCUUCACGCUCAUCUUCGUCUCGUCUCCGCCGAGCCGUUACGUAACACUCAGAUGGAGACAUGAGAGUUAAUACCAUGAUGUAACAUUGACUUUUCUCCACUUCUUUUGUGUUUUUUUUUUUUUUCAAACUUGUAAUUAAGCUGUAAUCAGGGUUAAUUAAAACCAGUUGAAACCCAA
Long non-coding RNA from Gasterosteus aculeatus aculeatus (three-spined stickleback), 1552 nucleotides. The record is from Ensembl. Lineage: Eukaryota; Metazoa; Chordata; Actinopteri; Perciformes; Gasterosteidae.